RNAcentral lists this long non-coding RNA (7292 nucleotides) under Lactuca sativa (garden lettuce). Its description in RNAcentral is "long non-coding RNA (LSAT_LNC008592)". The record is from RNAcentral. Lineage: Eukaryota; Viridiplantae; Streptophyta; Magnoliopsida; Asterales; Asteraceae.
CUUGAACUCUCUUGAACUCUUGAAAGCAAGCACCACAAUUGUAGUGCCUCUAAUGGCUCACAAACACCUUGAAGCAAGAAGGCAACUAAGAGAGAGAAGGGAAUGAUGCUAAUUUCGGCCCUAGGGUUUCCUUGGAAUCAAGUGGCCUCAAAUUGAAGCAUAGGGCAUGUAUUUAUACUAUAGGGUGCUAGGGUUUUAGUCUAAACCCUAAUGGACAGCUUAGCCACCAAGCAGCCCAAGGAACCUUAUGGAAUGAGGCCUUGGACGAAAAUAUGAUGAUCCUUCAUCAUAAUUUCGUUCCCCCUUAGUCCAUUAGGUUUCCUAGCCCAAAACUCAACUAUCACACAUUUGACAGUUUAUACCCCUCUAUUUAAUUAAUCUCUUUUAGUCACCAAAUUAAUUCCUAAUUAAUUUAUGACUAAUACUAAUUAAAUAAAUAUGAUUUCUCCUUUAAUAUAUUAUUCUUAUAAUAUAUUAAUAAAUCAUAAUAUCUCCUCUCUCAUAUCAAAUUACCUUGUCAAGUUGCUUUGGUGAAGGCAACCCAAAAGGACCAUGCACACUCGGGUCAAGUAUAUACCAAAUAUGGUUACUGACUUAGACACUAAUCCAACAGUCUCCCACUUGGAUAAGUCUAGUAACUAUAUCUCACGUAUAACUUCCGUACCCGAUAGCAAUCGUAGCUUUCAAUAGCCGCUGUCAACUCUGACCAAUAAUCUGUCCUUUAGAUAAGGGAUCGUAUAAUCCUCUGUUCUAGAUAUCAUGCUAACAAUACUUAUUGUCUAGCAUUCUAUUUCUUGAUUUCUGAUUUGUUCGACAUAGAACUCAGUUGAACACAUCAACUUUAUCCUGACCGGGCCCGGCACAUAAGUCAAACCAAAUCAUCAAGUGGCCGAGAUAUCGCUUUUAUCCUCAUAGAAUAAAAGGAACAAAAAACGUUGACUAAUAUGCCUUUAUCAUUUACUAGUUAAACCACACACAAUAAUACGUUUUAUAACAUCAAGUUACUGAUGCGUUUUCGCAUUAUCAAUGUAUAAUCAACUAGCAAACAAUAACCAUAUCUCUAGGUUUAAAGAUUAUAUGAUAUUAUCAUCUUGCGAUCACUUGUGAUAACAUUCAUGAAGUAAUACCAGCAAGUGUGGGUCUAUUUCAAUGCUCAAUACAAAUUUCAUAAGCACUCAUAAACUUUGCAGCAAACCUUUGCUAUGUCUAAAACUUUUCAGACAAUCUACAAACAAAUUUAUGACAAUCUUCCUUCAUAUCUACUUCCAACAUAUGAGCGAUUGUGAACUGUUCGAAUAAUCUUAUUAUUCAGGAAGUCAAAACAUGCAAAAUCGACACAAUAGAUAAAUAAUCAACACAAGAUAGAAACUUUCUUAUAAAUAACACACCUUUAUUUAAUCAUCAUUUGUUGAAUAUGACAUUAUCUAUUACAAGUUUUCUACCUAUCUAAUCUAAACUAAUAUCGUCCUUCAGCCCUACGCUCCUAGCGUGCUGCAAAUGCUUGACCCUACUCAGUCCCUUUGUAAGGGGAUCUGCUGGGUUAUCUUCUGACGAUACCCUCUUCACAACGAGGAGUCCCUCUUCUACCCGAUGUCUAAUAAAGUGGUAUUUCCUGUCGAUAUGUCGAGAUCUGCCAUGAUCCCUUGGUUCCUUGGUUAAGGCAACCGCUCCUUCAUUAUCACAGAAAAUUUCCACGGGCUCUUUUAUGGAUGGCACAACUCCAAGGUCUCCAAUGAAGUUCUUCAACCAUAUAGCCUCCUUUGACGCUUCGCUCGCCGCAAUAUACUCUGAUUCGCACGUUGAAUCAGCUACGGUCUCUUGCUUGGAACUUUUCCAAGUCACUGCUCCUCCAUUUAGGGUAAAGACCCAGCCUGACUGCGAUCGGAAGUUAUCCCGAUCCGUCUGAAAACUAGCAUCACUGUACCCUCGUACCCUUAAGUCAUCACUCCCACCGAGGACUAGAAACCAUCCCUUGGUCCUCCGAAGGUACUUAAGAAUAUUCUUAACCGCAAUCCAAUGUGCCCUACCAGGAUUCCCUUGAUAUCUGCUGACCAUGCUUAAAGCGAAGGCCACAUCAGGGCGAGUACAAGUCAUAGCGUACAUGAUAGAGCCUACUGCGGAAGCGUAAGGUACUCGGCUCAUAUCAGCUAUCUCUGUCUCUGUACUCGGGCUCUGAGUCUUACUCAGCUUGGUAUUGCUUUGGAUUGGCAACUCCCCUUUCUUGGAAUUUUCCAUACUAAAACGCUUUAGUACCUUUUCCAAGUAUGUAUCCUGACUGAGUCCUAUCAGUCUCUUUUCCCUGUUUCUUACUAUUCUUAUUCCCAGAAUAUAAGCGGCUUCUCCGAGGUCCUUCAUAGCGAAGCAUUUCCCAAGCCAGGACUUGACUUCCUGCAAGGUUGGGACAUCGUUUCCUAUGAGUAGUAUGUCGUCGACAUACAAUACGAGGAAGCUUACUAUACUCCCACUGGCUUUGACAUACACACAAGAUUCAUCUUCGCUUCGCAGAAAGCCAAACUCUUUAACCUUCUCAUCAAAACAAAGAUUCCAUCUGCGAGAUGCUUGUUUCAAUCCAUAAAUAGAUUUCUCAAGCUUGCAUACUCUAUUCGGAUGCUUCACAUCGACAAAACCCUCUGGCUGAUUCAUGUAGACAUCCUCAGCCAACUUUCCAUUAAGGAAAGCGGUCUUCACGUCCAUCUGCCAUAUUUCAUAAUUAUGAAAUGCAGCUAUGGCAAGCAUCACCCUAAUAGACUAUAUCUUCGCAACUGGUGAGAAGGUCUCAUCAUAGUCAACUCCGGGAGUUUGAGUAAAGCCCUUCGCAACCAAUCGCGCUUUAUAAGUAUGCACUUUCCCAUCCAUGUCCAUCUUCUUCUUGAAGAUCCACUUGCACCCGACUGUCUUACGACCCGGUACAUUAUCAACCAAAUUCCAAACUUGGUUGUCGUACAUGGACUGAAUCUCGCUGUCCAUAGCCUCUUUCCAUUUUGCAGACUCCGGGCCUGCCAUGGCUUCCUUAUAGCUGCUAGGUUCAUCCAAAUUUACUAGUGUACUAUCACUAAUAAAUGUAUCCCCUUCAGUAGUAAUAUGAAAACCAUAAAACUGGGGUGGAACACUAGCCCUAGUGGAACGUCGAAGAGGUAGGGACUCGUCAAUAGGUUCAACAGGAGUUUCCUCCUCAAGUUGAGUGCCAGUGUCCGAGGUUCCUUCAUCGCUUUGAUCUUGAAUUUCUUCAAGUUCAAUUUGCCUCCCACUGUCUUCUUGGCUUAUUAAUUCCCUUUCUCGGAAAACCCCUCUUCUAGCAACGAAGACAACAUUGUCACUCGGUCUAUAGAAAAGGUAGCCAAAAGACUUCUGCGGAUAGCCGAUGAAAUAACACUUCUCACUACGAGGUUCUAGUUUGUCGUGAGUCUCUCGUCUUACGAAAGCCUCACAACCCCAAACCUUGAUAUGUGCCAACGAGGGAGCCUUCCCUGUCCACAUCUCGUGAGGAGUCUUGGAAACCUUCUUAGUGGGAACUAAGUUAAGUAUAUGGGCGGCAGUCUCUAAGGCAUACCCCCAGAAAGCUAUUGGUAGCGAAGUCCGACUCAUCAUAGAACGAACCAUGUCCAACAAGGUCCGAUUACGUCUCUCAGCCACACCAUUCAAUUGUGGCGUUCUCGGAGGCGUCAAUUGCGAAACGAUUCCACAUUCUUUUAGAUAGUCGUGAAACUCAAGACUUAGGUACUCUCCUCCUCGGUCUGACCGAAGCAUCUUGAUUUUCCUGCCCAGCUGAUUCUCCACUUCAUUCUUAAACUCUUUGAACUUUUCAAAGGUUUCCGACUUUUGCUUGAUCAAGUAGAUAUAUCCAUAUCUGCUAUAAUCAUCUGUAAAAGUCACGUAGAAGCGGCAAGCAUCCCUUGUGGUGGAUCUAAAGGGCCCACACACAUCGGUGUGUAUGAGAUCCAAUAAACCCUCACCCCUUUCACAAGUGCCAGUAAAGGGUGACUUGGUCAUCUUCCCAAGUAAACAAGACUCACACGUGUCAUCGUCCCUAAGGUCGAAUGACUCCAACACUCCAUCCUUUUGGAGUUGGGCUAUGCGUUUCUUGUUGACAUGGCCAAGACGACAAUGCCACAAGCAUGCUUUGUCUAGACUAGUAGACGAAUCAAUAUUCAAAACAUUAUUUCCAAAAUUAUCAACAAUCAUCACUGAUUCAUAAAUCCCAUUACAAGGUAAUGCAUUGAAAUAAAAGACACCAUUCAAAUAAACAUUAAUAGAACCAUUACUAUUAUCAAAAGAAUAUCUGAAACCUUGUCUAAACAACCCAUGAAAAGAAAUAAUGUUUCUUGCCAUAUCUGGCGAAUAACAGCAAUUCUCUAAAUCUAUUCCUAACCCAUUACUUAACACUAAAGAAUAAACACCGACUUUGGUCACAGGCGACGAUCUUCUGUUUCCCAUAAUCAGGUUCAUCUUCCCAUGCUCCAUCUCCCUACUUCUUUUUAGGCCCUGCAAAUCAGAACAAAUGUGGUAACCACAUCCUGUAUCAAGAACCCAUGAAGUAGCAAAUGAUGAGUUAUUAGAUUUAAUAGAAUACAUACCUGCAAAUGUGGGCUUGAUCUUCCCAUCUCUUAUGUCCUGCAGAUAUUGUGGGCAGCUUCGCUUCCAGUGGCCCUUUUGGUGGCAAUAGAAGCACUCUGCUUCUUUAGGAUCGGAAGAGGGUUUAAUGGGGCCUGCUUUGGUCCCACUUGAUGACGAACCAUCACGGGGUUUCCCCUUAUGGUGGCUCUUACAUGGAGCCUUCCUCUUUUUACCCUUUCCUUGACCUAUCGCCAUCACGGGAGCGGCCACAGCAGGCGACGGUGCAACGGAUUUGUCUUUGAGGUUGCUCUCAGCAGUCCUCAAGAGUCCUUGGAGCUUGCUCAAGGAGACCUCCUCUUUGUUCAUAUGGUAGGUCAUCCUAAACUGAUUGUAGCAGGAGGGCAAGGAGUGGAGGAUUAUGUCGAUAGCCAAAUCCUCAUCAAACUUAACAUUAAGUUUGAGAAGACGAUCAACAUACCUCUGCAUUUUCUGCAAAUGAGAGGUUAGGGAUUCUCCACUCCCCAUCUUAGCGGUGAUCAUGUUAGUAAUGAUCUCAUAGCGCUCUUGCCUCGCGCUCUGGUGAUACCUGUCCAGCAAAUCCUGAUGCAUUUCAUAUGGAUACAUGUCCUCAUAGGACUUUUGGAGUUCGAGGUUCAUGGUGGCCAGCAUGAUGCAGUGAACUUUCGUGGCAUCACGCUCGUGGGCCUCAAAGGCGGCCAGUUCCUCAGGAGUAGCAACAUCUGGGAUGAUCUUCUCAAGCUUUUCAUCGAGGACAUAUUCUUUGUCCUCGUAGCGUGUGAUCAUGCGAAUGUAUCUCAUCCACUCGUUGAAGUUUGAACCAUCAAAUGUCACUUUCUGACACAAGUUCAUCAACGAGAAUGACCCAGAAGCGUUGUUGUUGUUGUUGUUAGCAGACAUCUGAAAAAGAAAGGGACAAAGCUUGAUUAGAAAUGAAUCCCUAAUUAAACACCCAAAUGAGAAAUUAGGGCUAGGAUCCAACAACAUUAUUUACAACUUAGAAAGGGAUGCCGUACUCUAAAAGUAAAUAACUUGAAGGUAAGUGAAUGACGAUUCACUAAUUCUCACCAUGAAAAACGAAAAAGCAAUUUAGGUUUUAAAUGUAUUGAAAACUCCUAGAUCUUUGAGAUUCAUUGAACUUUUCAAUGGCAUGUUUAAAUCUCGAUAUGCAUUUCACAUUUGCGACUGGGAUGCCGAGGAUCGCAAACAAAUUUGUGAAUAACCAUGCGAAUUAACGUGGUGCACUCAACGUCACUAUCACCUAAUCAAUGUGCCGGUAAACCACACACGCUCCAUUGAUCUAUGACAAACAUCGAGUCACCCUUCGCUACCUAUGUCAUCCCCAAAUUGAUGUGCCGGUUAACCACACGCGCUCCAUCAACGUUUGACAAGGGUACGAAGUGUAAUUCCAUGGAUUAGCAUCAUUUUCACAUUUUACCCUAAAGUAACUAAGAGUGGGAAUUUGUAAAACAAUGUAGUUACUUUAAUAUUUCCAUUAUACUUUUAAUGAGGAAUUAAGUGCCCUAUCCUAUCCGUUCGGCUAACGACCCUCCACCAGUCAAGCAAGCGGUAGAUGUGAGUGUACAUCCAUUAAGCGCCAUUUUAUAGGCAGCAACCUUAUACCCACCUUAUAGACCGGCUUCGUGAAUGAGGCCUACUAGCGAUAAGACUAGCUUAUUCUUAUACAUAUAUAAUAAUUAAUCUUAUAAUAUCAUAAUUGUAUAAGGGUGUAUUUUAAAGCAUUUCAAAAUACUAGUAUCUUAAUGUGUAUUAAAAUUUUCGAAAAUUAGGGCUAUUUAAUUUAAAAUUUUAAACACCAAAAAAAAAAAUUUGAUUUAAUAAUUAUCAAAAUCAAACAAUUAAUUUGAACUAUUAAAUCUUUAAGGUUUAUCAUAAAAUCAAACUAUUAAUUUAUUUAAUCCUUUUAUCCCCUAGAUUUUUAAAUAUAUGGAAAGGAUAAUACAAGAUCUUCAAUUAUCUAGUUUAAACAAUUAAAUGGAUAAUCAUAAAGAUAGCAAUAUCCAAAUCCCUAAAAUCUUGGGAUCUUAUCUUGGGGGGCAAGGGAUUUUCGAAAUCCUUAGGGUUUCUUAACCCUAAUUUUCGAAAUAUGGAGGCUAGGCAAAAGAGUUUUAAGAACCCUAUCAAAAAUCGCCAACUAGGGUUUUGCAACCCUAAUUUGCGAAAAUCACCAAGCCUUAGGGUUUACUUGCCAUAAACCCUAAUUUGUCAAAUUCAUAAUAUGUAUCAAAUCCAAUUGAAAACAAAAAACCAAUGGCUCUGAUACCACUGAUAGGUUUAAUACAAACAAUCCUAUGUGUGCAUGCAACCCUAGUUGGAUCUAUGUUUUCACUAUAAGACAUACAACUUUAUGAACACAAAAUAAACCCUGGCAUGCUUCUAUAAUUUUCGAAAAUUACAUAGAAGUGUAGUAGACAUACCUUUGUUGUUAUAUAGCAAUAACAACUAGUUUCCUUGAUCUCUUGAACUCUCUUGAACUCUUGAAAGCAAGCACCACAAUUGUAGUGCCUCUAAUGGCUCACAAACACCUUGAAGCAAGAAGGCAACUAAGAGAGAGAAGGGAAUGAUGCUAAUUUCGGCCCUAGGGUUUCCUUGGAAUCAAGUGGCCUCAAAUUGAAGCAUAGGGCAUGUAUUUAUACUAUAGGGUGCUAGGGUUUUAGUCUAAACCCUAAUGGACAGCUUAGCCACCAAGCAGCCCAAGG